RNAcentral lists this small RNA (90 nucleotides) under Erwinia sp. AG740. RNAcentral describes it as "OmrA-B family". It matches the Rfam family "OmrA-B family". Lineage: Bacteria; Pseudomonadati; Pseudomonadota; Gammaproteobacteria; Enterobacterales; Erwiniaceae. The record is from RNAcentral.
CCCAGAGGUAUUGAUGGGUGACAAUCGAUGUGUUCUCCACAUUGAACCAUUCAAAUUUCACCAACCUACGCGGAUGCGUAGGUUUUUUUU